RNAcentral lists this long non-coding RNA (565 nucleotides) under Anser brachyrhynchus (Pink-footed goose). Its description in RNAcentral is "lncRNA (ENSABRG00000005219.1)". Lineage: Eukaryota; Metazoa; Chordata; Aves; Anseriformes; Anatidae. The record is from RNAcentral.
GAGGAGCACUAAGUGCUCAGAACAGCUGGAAAGGCAAAGCUUGGGGCAUCACAUGCAUUUCUAUUCCACUUACAGGUGUGAGCUGACUAGCAUGACUAAGGGUAAGGAUAUAAGUGGAAAAGAACAUGUGCCAUUCUCUGCCCAUGUGUACUCAAGUUUGCCAUGCAGAAAGACUAUCUAGUAAGUAAUCAAGUCAUGGCUGUCUGAAUGGAAAAGAACAACUCAGCAACAGGCCCAGGGUUCUUCAUGCUCAGUCUUAUUGUCAUCUUCUGCAGUAUCAGCCUUUCCUGAGACUUUUAUGUUGGAAAUGGGCCUUAUCCACUAAGGGUAAGUACUUGAUACAAACACCAACAGGUUAAUAGUGAAAAGCUGCUCUUUCCUCACUCCCUAUAGUAACACAUUAGAAGAGCCAUGCAGGCAAAGUGCACUGGUAAGUGCUUUGCCAUAGAGAGUAAAAUACAGUAAUGAGAAAAGAGAGAGUGGCAAUAUCCAAGCUACCUUCAUCAGCAACUCAAACAUGGGUCAUAACUGUAGGAAAUGUAACCAAGCUUAUCGGAUCCUCAGC